RNAcentral lists this long non-coding RNA (3414 nucleotides) under Sinocyclocheilus anshuiensis. RNAcentral's name for it is "lncRNA (ENSSANG00000001901.1)". Lineage: Eukaryota; Metazoa; Chordata; Actinopteri; Cypriniformes; Cyprinidae. The record is from RNAcentral.
ACGGUCCAAAAUCCUCAUGAAGGUUAAAGCCAAAAUCCCUCAGCCCAGCAGCAUCUUCACAACGCACGACAGCUGGAAUUGUGUGAUUCGUGACAUCGCAUCCGAAUGAGGAAAAUGACUGGCACACUGUAAAGCAUCUGAUAUUAUUCCCCCAAGAAGAAUGCUGCAACAGAACAACAACAAUAACUGCUUGGACAUGGCCCAUAGGGAGCUACUGCAUGAAUGCCGAAGAACCAAUGUCUCAUUCGCCAGUGCCCUUGAGUUUGGAGCCAUACCCCUGAUUAAAGGCCUGAGAGCAUGGGCUGUGAGUGGCGGCUACUCUAAAGCCAGACGAAAGGCCGCUAAUGGAUCUCGGGCACAGGGCACAUGCCAACAGCCUCCUGAAAACAGGCUAGGGCAGAGAAGCUGGUCAGGUCAGGUCAGCAGUGGCUAUGGGCACACAAUGGAGAGCACAAUUAGUGCAACCAGAACUCCAGGGGUCAGGCAAGGCGGUCUUGGCGCUCUUGUAACUGUGGCCACUUUGAAGGGCACUGAGGGGGGUGGUAGGCAGACUCAGACACGCUGCCUCUUUCUCAAGGCCCAGGGCAGGGGCAGCUACAUCUGUGCUGUUGGAAACCGCGGGACUGGGACGAGAGUCACGGCUCCACGGACUCACGCUGUCAUUCUUGAGGGGACAAAGGAAGAGCUUAGAUGUUCCUCUAAAGGGCAGAAGGUGAGCCAGGAUGGGCCAGACAGUGGUGGAUUGUUCAAGGCCAAGCCCAGGGCCAUACGAAAAUGGAGGAAAUGCGGUAAAACAAUGGAGAAAAGAACAGCGGCUCAUGGCAAAGGGGAAAACACUAGUCAGCGCAGUGACCAAAAAAGUUCAGUGAUUUCAGAUGCACAACCACUUAACAUAACACAAGGCCAGACGGGUAGCUAUCCAAGUCAGGACGACUUGAAGUUGAAGGGCAAAGACAAAAGGGCUCAUUCCCCCAUAUUAGUGAAAGCUGUCACACCCAAGAGCACAGAUCCACAAACCUGCUGCUCUUCUGCCAAACCAUGUGCCAAACCAGGUGAGCAGGUUGAAGAUGAGAUGAGCCUUAAUCAAUCCGAUAACUGUUCUGAAAAAGAAUUCAGUUGUGCCAAUGUGCAAGGAGACACUGAGGUCAGUAAAUGUGACCUUGAUGCAAAUGAUCGCCAGAACUUUGUUGCUGAUGUGCCAAACCUAGGGUCAUCUGUAGCAUCUGAGACUCACUCUGAUAGUCUAAGAAUCAAAUUGACCACAACAAACUGUAAUACUGAGCCAAGCAUGGAUCAUUCUCCCAUGAUAACUCCCUCCGAAGUCCCUAUCAGCAUUCAGAAGAAUCAAGAAUCCAGGCCAGACGAGCGCCUACUAGACCGUGAGAAUCUACACUCGGUGGAGCCCGGCGAUCUUGCAACACAGAGAGAUGGGACUCCAUACACAAAGAAUACAGUUUUGCCGGAGGACCGCACUCCAGUGGGUGCUGAAUGUAGCACCACAGAAAAGAAAAGUAGGCCGUCCAUGUGCUCACCUCAGCAUUGGGAGGAAUUAAUCACAAAGCAUGGAGAACAUGAAGUUCAGCAGUCUGACAAAUCCUCUUCACGAGGCUUUAGCGCAACAACAGCCAAUAUAACUGUAACCACUAUUCACUCCCUGGUUAAUCCUGCCCCUACCACCACCACAGCCAUAGCAACAGCCAUCCCAGCAUUAAGCGAGGCGGAGGCGGGGGCUAGAGGUGGAGACUUGCUGCCUCUGGUGAACUCAGAGUUGCUAUCAGAGCCAGCAAGAGUUGACGACAAGGACAAGGUGGCCGCUGACGAGGGGUCUCUUGAUGUGGGCGAGGAGGAGGAGGAGGAGUUUGGGGCAUUCAUGCAGGCAGGUGGAGAGCAGCUGUGGACGGAUGGGUUCAGUGAGGUCCAACAGUUGGCUGAGGAUUACAACUGUGAGGAACACACAAGUUCUGCUGAUGCAAAUGAACCCGCAUCCUGGGCAUCUGAUUGGACUGCAGUCCAGUCAUUCCAGCAGUCAGAGAGCACAUGGACUGCCUUCAGCCAGGAGACUGUGGAGCAGAAGAUAGUGCCUGGUGGCCAUUGGUGGCCUUCUACCGAAAAACCAAACCUUCCUCUCUCUCCUCUCCAUAAUGUGUCAAAUGUGUUUCUAGAGGCCUUUCCCUCAGAAAAGUCCCCCUGUGAAGAUCCUGAAUACAUUCCUACACUAAAGCAGCUUCUGCAAGGACCAGCUGAAAACAGCAAUACAGGGGAGCACAAGGAGCAGAGCUUACUUGAUGGCCUCCAGGAUCUAGACCGGAUGAUUGGUGUGAAAUAUAAGAGGGCGGAGUCUCUGUCCUGUAAACUUCUCCUUCAGUCACUGCAUUUGCAACGUCCCAGCUCUGAAUGUGCGACAGUUCGACUGAAGACCAGUGCCAGGUUUUCUCCAAAUCUCCCAACGUCCAACCAGCAAUUAGCUGCAAAUGCUAAGAGAAGACUGUCAUAUGACUUCAACAGAAAUAUUAUGACCUAGUCUCUAUAUCUGCCGAAACAUCUUUGACCUAUGCUUCCUUGAAAACAGGAAAUACAGGACAGAGGAAAAAUACAUGCUGAAAAACUGAGUUUCCAUAGAUCGACUUCUAUUCGAGGUUUAUUUAAAGUGUAUUUCUUCUUUCAGUGUCUGGUAGAUUCUGUUUCUCAUUCAGCUGUGUAUCAAGACACACUAGACCCAUGUUUAACCAAAUAUAUGUUUUUUAGGACAAAUAUAAAAAAUGUCAAGUUAAAAACCCCUUUGCCAAAUUGUUCGGUCCAGUUAUUGGAGUCUGGUUAUUGGACCCAUUUUGAUAUAACUGAUAUAUUCAGAUGAAAAUAUGUCAGUAUGUAUUUGUGUAUUACUUUCAAUCAUUGCUAUGGAUUUUAUUUGUUAGAAUAAGAAUAUUUUUCUGGAGUCAUAGCAAACCAGUUAGUGCACAUUCUCACAGGCAUGUAGAUUCAUAUCUGGCCUGUCACAUCCUGAACCACGUCCCAAACUUUCCUUUCUACUGUCUCACAUGACGUACUGUACAAUUGAAUAAAAAAAUAAUAAUGUGAUUUUAGGGGGAUUAGGAUCAACUCUAGCUCCCCGCGCAAUCUCUCCUUCACCUGUCUGAAACUGUCAAAGCAAAUUUCCACAAAAUGUAUUUUCAUACACCACCUCACACAGAAAUCAAUUUUCUUGUUUCCAUGUCUUUUUUCCCUGUGCUUGAAGUACUAAAUAUAACACUGUAGUGUACCAUUUUUAACUGCUGACGAAUAGAGACCAUAUUUUCAGAAGUGUUUUAAAAUGAAUGUCGACAUUUUAAAUUGAACCUGUAAGCUUGUUUGUUGAUUGAUGUAAUUAAAACAUCUUUGAAUGACUGAAUGAAGUGGAUAACUGGGGGAUCAACC